RNAcentral lists this ribosomal RNA (253 nucleotides) under uncultured bacterium. RNAcentral's name for it is "partial 16S ribosomal RNA". It matches the Rfam family "Bacterial small subunit ribosomal RNA", at positions 524 to 776 of the family's 1533-position model. The record is from RNAcentral.
UACGUAGGGUGCAAGCGUUAUCCGGAAUUAUUGGGCGUAAAGAGCUCGUAGGCGGUUUGUCGCGUCUGCUGUGAAAACUGGAGGCUCAACCUCCAGCCUGCAGUGGGUACGGGCAGACUAGAGUGCGGUAGGGGAGAUUGGAGUUCCUGGUGUAGCGGUGGAAUGCGCAGAUAUCAGGAGGAACACCGAUAGCGAAGGCAGCUUACUAGACUGUAACUGACGCUGAUGCACGAAAGUGUGGGGAUCAAACAGG